RNAcentral lists this ribosomal RNA (627 nucleotides) under uncultured cyanobacterium. Its description in RNAcentral is "bacterial SSU rRNA". It matches the Rfam family "Bacterial small subunit ribosomal RNA", at positions 57 to 705 of the family's 1533-position model. The record is from RNAcentral. Lineage: Bacteria; Bacillati; Cyanobacteriota.
GCAAGUCGAGCGCUCAUAGCAAUAUGGGAGCGGCGAACGGCGUAUAUACGUAGAACGUACCCUCGGGUCGAGGAUAGCUACGGGAAACUGUAGGUAAUACUCGAUAAUCUCUGCGGAGCAAAGGUGUGGUUUCGCCCGGGGAGCGGCUUACGCGAUAUUAGCUAGUUGGUAGGGUAAUGGCCUACCAAGGCGAAGAUGUCUAGGGGGUGUGAGAGCAUGGCCCCCACGACCGGAACUGAGAUACUGUCCGGACACCUACGGGUGGCUGCAGUCGAGAAUCUUCCGCAAUGGACGAAAGUCUGACGGAGCGACGCCGCGUGCGGGAUGAAGGCCCUUGGGUUGUAAACCGCUGUCAGAGGGGAUGAAAUCUUCGGAGGUACUCCUCCGAAGUUGACAGAGCCUCAAAGGAAGCACGGGCUAAGUACGUGCCAGCAGCCGCGGUAACACGUACUGUGCGAACGUUAUUCGGAAUCACUGGGCUUAAAGGGUGCGUAGGCGGCGAUUCAAAGUCAGAUGUGAAAUGCCUGAGCUCAACUGAGGCAUUGCGUUUGAAACUGAACCGCUAGAGUAUUUCAGGGGUGUGCGGAACUGCCAGUGGAACGGUGAAAUGUGUUGAUAUUGGCAGGA